ACUUAGCGAAGAUGCAUACGUUUUCGAACAAAAUAGAUGAAAACAACUCAGAGAGUUCCAAAAACCAGUGUUGAUUGUUUGGAUGCGAUGGUCGGAGACCAGUUACGGAAUAAUCACAGUAAUCAAGCAAUCUCUACGGAAGCCAUCAUUCACAACUAUAAAUCAGCUCAAAUUAGACAGAGUGUGCUGGUGGGUGAGCGUGCCAGGUGGGAUAGCACGUAGUUCCUCCCGCUGAGUGCAGUCAAAUGGCCCGGCGGCUCUAAUUUUUUUUUGUGGUGAAAAUAAAACCAACCAGAUAAAA
Long non-coding RNA from Uranotaenia lowii, 301 nucleotides. RefSeq lists it as uncharacterized. The transcript is spliced from 3 exons. The record is from RefSeq and is a predicted model, not a curated record. Lineage: Eukaryota; Metazoa; Arthropoda; Insecta; Diptera; Culicidae.